GAUGAACGCUAGCGACAGGCCUAACACAUGCAAGUCGAGGGGCAGCACAUGCGUAGCAAUACAAUGGUGGCGACCGGCGCACGGGUGAGUAACACGUAUGCAACCUACCUGUAAGAGGGGAAUAACCCGGAGAAAUUCGGACUAACACCGCAUAAUACCGAUUAACUGCAUGGUUGAUCGGUUAAAUAUUUAUAGCUUACAGAUGGGCAUGCGUAACAUUAGAUAGUUGGUGAGGUAACGGCUCACCAAGUGAACGAUGUUUAGGGGUUCUGAGAGGAAUGUCCCCCACACUUGUACUGGGAUACGGACCAGACUCCUACAGCAGGCAGCAGUGAGGAAUAUUGGUCAAUGGGAGAGAGCCUGAACCAGCCAAGUCGCGUGAAGGAAGAAGGUUCUAUGGAUUGUAAACUUCUUUUGUAAGGGAAUAAAAAAGCUUACGUGUAGGCUAUUGUAUGUACUUUACGAAUAAGGAUCGGCUAACUCCGUGCCAGCAGCCGCCGUAA
Molecule: ribosomal RNA, 503 nt
Filed under: uncultured bacterium
Lineage: Bacteria
Description: partial 16S ribosomal RNA
Rfam family: Bacterial small subunit ribosomal RNA
Source: RNAcentral